UAUAUAUAUAUACAGAUCAUGUACGUAACAAAAGCUUUACAACACAAUACAACUAAGUCAAGCACAACUCUAACUUUAUACACAACUAUUACAUCUCUUUAAAAUUUACAUGUCCACUCUAUACUAUUACAAGCUCUUUUACUCUUUCUGUACUCUGCUGGACUGUCCCUGUACACUGUACACUGAACCUGCAAAACUGGGGUUAAGGGAGUGGGAUGAGCUCUAUAGCCCAGUGAGUAGAACAGUAAAACAUUUCAGUAAAAUAUGAUCUCAUGGAAUGCGUCAUAACACAAACAAUCCACAUCAAAGAUAAACCUGUCACCACAUAGUCCCAGUAACUCUGUGCCAGGGCGUAGAAUCGAGCACCUGGUCUUCCUGUGAUAUAUGUAUAUGUGUAUAUAACACCUCUGUACUUACCAUUGCCAGGGCGUAGUCAAAGGCUCCUAGACUUUACUAUAUACCUGCCAGGGCGUAGUCAAAGGCUCCUGGACUUCUCUAUACCUGCCAGGGCGUAGUCAAAGGCUCAUGGACUUCCUGUCUGGAACUAUUGGAUCAUUCAGCAUUUACCCACACCAACAAUGUAGCUAUACAAUGCAACAUCUUUGUGAGUUCUAAUGCAAUCAACCUAUUGCAUAAACAUGAUGCAUGAAAAAUGCUAAAAGCCGUUAAUGUCUGUCUUAAAAUGAGUUAUAAGUUUAGUUCCACUCACCUUUGGCUCUCUGGACUGACUGACUGUGCAAGCUCUGAAACUCUGAGCAGGACUCACUACUGCUCUCUCUGGUUCCUCUGGUCUGUAUAGGUACAGAUAAACUCAAAUGAGGGACCAAACUAGCU
This 834-nucleotide long non-coding RNA is filed under the name Manihot esculenta (cassava). RNAcentral describes it as "long non-coding RNA (MESC_LNC007604)". The record is from RNAcentral. Lineage: Eukaryota; Viridiplantae; Streptophyta; Magnoliopsida; Malpighiales; Euphorbiaceae.